CUUCGAGGUGUGCGGGUUGGAGCGAGUCCUCUGCAGGGAGCGGCUCGUGAGGCGCGGUUCCUCGCGAAGCCUUCUAUCGAGGGAUGGCGCUCGCGAGGCCUCCCGAGGGGGCUUAUCCUGCACUAGGAGUGAUGGGGUCAUAGUCCUAUGGUAGGUCAUAGGCCUGCCCUGUAGGUCCAACCCAAGGACUACCCCUCAUAAGGGACAAGGCCCUUAGUCAGUUCCGACUGAACUAAGGAGUUCCCUUCAUCCAGUCGGUAACAGAUCCUCGACCAUCCAGUCGGAGAUUAGCAUUCGGAGUUUAUCAAACUAACCGACUGGAUUCCACUCUGUGCAUCGUAACCCCCCUGGAGGGAAACGGUCAUACGUUUCCAUGUGCCUUUAUUAGCAUUUAAGACGUACGUUACCUGUAACGUAGGCAUUUAUUCGCAACUACUCCACCCCUGUGCACCGAGCCGUUGUGGAGGGCAGCGCACUCUAUAUAAGCCACUCUCCCCCACUGGUGCAGGGGUUAGCAACUCGUUGUAUUCCAUAUUCCACUCGACAACAAGCUUCCAGAGCACUGAGACGUAGGACUAUUACCUCCGUCGCAGAGGGGCCUGAACUCAUACAACCUCGCCGUAGCUAAGGCUCUGCCCAUCCUUUCGUACCCUACAUAUCUACUGUCAGACUUAUACCCACGACAGUUGACGCCCACCGUGGGGCAGGCGUCUAAGCGACUUUCCGGCGAGUUUGCGACUACAUCUUUUCGUCAUGUCGUCCGGUGGAGAUUCGAGCAUGGGUCACGAGAUGUUCUUCGGCGCUCUCUCCUUCAUCGUCAAUGAUUCGGCAUGGCUUCGGGACGCCCCUCUCGACGUCGAGGCGCUUCCCCGCCGCGGGGCUACGCAUUUCCGUGCCGGCGCCCGCGGCAUUUUUCUUCUCCAGCAGUCGGCUCCGGUGUCGACCUACACCGCCGUCACACGCCGCAACAAGCGGUCCCGCCAUCCGCGGCUCCAGCGUUGGGUGCAACACGCCCAGGCGCGCCAGAACGCGUCUUCACAAGUGGCGGUUCUAGAGUCGGUUGUGGUUGCCCCGCCGUCCCAGCGCUCGGACUCGGUUCCGACUGAGUUUCCGUCUGAGUACGCGGGUCGCGGGCCUGCAGCAGAAGUACACAUGGCCAACUCCCAUGAAGAUCCCUGUCAAGCUGGCCGGAACGAGCACGAGAUCGGCGAAACGUCCAGCGCGCGUCGUCCGCCUCGCCGUUCUGCUAGUCGGCACACUCGGCGGAGCAACGUGGAGUUGUUCCGCACACCCCUCCUCAACUUGGCUGCGGCUGCCAAGAUAGCCGAUUCCCUUCAGCCGACUGAUUUAGAGGCUGGCAGGGGGAUCGAGCAAAUCCGCGCCCUAUUGCACACGGCGCAGCAGUAAAAUUCGGCUGUCUCCCAGUCGCACAACAGGAUCCACAAUAGUUUUGUUCAUGCGAAUACGCAUCGGUCAGUUCACAGCCCUGGUUCUCAUUAGCGACACAGGGGAGGCAACCGUUCCAUAAAUCCCGAAGAUCGUCGCCGUUCACGCACCCCUCCGCGGGGUGGGUCCUACGGGCCCCGACAUCAUGAUGAUCGGCGUUCAGUCGGUGACACUUACGACCCAAGGCCCGACGCGAGAGGGCGUAUCGCCCAGCGGAGGGCCGACAGGGGCCGAGCCCACCGCGAUAGUUACGAUAUUGACCGUCCGAGUGGAAGCAGGACCAUCGUGUCUGGUCCCGAGUGUUUUAGUUGAGCCAUCCGUUCGGCUGACAUCCCUCCCAACUUCCGAUUGGCGACGGGAAUCAGCAAGUUUACAGGAGAGUCCAAGCCAGAAACGUGGCUGGAUGAUUACCGAGUGGCAGUCCAGAUCGGAGGAGGGGACGACCAUGUCGCCAUGAAGCACCUCCCUCUGAUGCUCGACGGCUCGGCGCGAGCGUGGCUGAACCAGUUGGCCCCCUCAAGCAUUUACAGUUGGGCAGAUCUGGCCCGAGUGUUCAUCAGGAGCUUUGAAGGGACGUGCAAGCGCCUUGCUGGCCUCGUGGAGCUCCAGCACUGCGUCCAGAAGCAGAAUGAGCCCCCUUCGUGAUUUCAUUCAGCGUUGGACAACUCUUUACCACACGGUGGAGAACGUCACAGAGCAUCAAGCAGUCCGCGCCUUCAAGGCAGGCGUGCGGUACAGGGAUCUGUACCUAAAGUUCGGCCGAACAGGUGACAUCUCCAUGAACAAGAUGAUGGAGAUAGCAGCACGCUAUGCAAAUGGCGAAGAAGAGGACCGCAUCCGAAGCGGCAAGCACAAGACAGUCGGUGAUGGAGAUGGAAGUAACACUCGGAAGCAGAAGCAGAAAGCUCCGUCCACUCCGCAGGCAGAAGCUGCAGCCGUAACCAAUGCCAAGUUCAAGGGCAAAGGGAAGGCUCAGUUCACCCCCAAGAAAAAGCAGUUCAAUAAUCCCAUCCUGGACCAGCCAUGUCCGGUUCAUACGAAGAUGGAUGAAGAGGGCAACCCCAUAUAUCCGAAGCAGACCACUCGACGGUGUCGCCUCCUGAUCCAGGGGUUCGGUGAAGGGCAACCGAGUGAAAAGGACAAUGAACAUGAUGAGGAGGAUAAGGAGGAUCUGCCCCCCCAAGUCCAUGCAACACUGAUGAUUUUUGCUGACGUUGAGAGCAAGAGUCGACUGAAGCUGGUGAACAGGGAGGUGAACAUGGCCAUCCCUAACAACCCCAAGUUCCUCAAAUGGUCUCAGACUACGAUCACCUUUGAUCAGUCGGAUCAUUCAACACACGUACCCACCCCAGGGAGACAGGCUCUGGUCGUCAACCCGGAGGUGGAAGGAGUUCGACUGCGCAAAGUCCUCAUGGACGUCGGCAGUGGCUUGAACAUCAUGUACGCCGACACUCUCAAGGGGAUGGGCAUUCCGAUGUCCAAACUCAGCGAAAGCAGCAUGCAGUUCCAUGGAGUCGUCCCUAGACGGAAGGCCAAGUCACUCGGCCAGAUCGCGUUGGACGUCGUUUUCGGCUUAAGACAAGAACUUCCGCAAGGAAAAGCUGACGUUCGAGGUGGUAGACUUCCAGAGCGCUUACCACGCAAUUCUAGGCCGCCCGGCGUAUGCGCGUUUCAUGGCCCGUCUAUGUUACGUAUACCUGAAGUUGAAGAUGCUAGGCCCGAAAGGUGUGAUCACCAUCACUGGCAAUCGACAGCGAGCCGAAGAGUCUGCAGCAAGGAUCAAGAAUCGCCGACCAGCAGAUGGCUGUCAUCGAGUUUGACGAGUACAAGAAGACAGUCGACCCUGCUGAUUUGAUGCGUUCGAAGAAGCCAGCUUCGGAGUCCGCAUUUCAGUCGGCGGGAGAGACGAAGAAGAUCAACAUCCACCCGACGGACAACACUGCUGCCCCGACGAACAUCUCCACCACCCUCGAUCCUAAAUAGGAAGCCGAGCUCACCCAAUUCCUCCGUGAGAACUGGGACAUCUUCGCAUGAAAACCCUCUGACAUGCCGGGUGUACCCAGGGAGUUGGCUGAGCACCGACUGCAUGUGGAUCCCACCGCUCGGCCCGUCCGAGAACGCCUGCGCCGGUCCGUCGCGCAUAAGAGGAAGGCAAUCGGGGAAGAGGUGGCCAAGCUGUUGGCAGCCAACUUCAUUCGCGAGGUCCACCACUCCGAGUGGCUCGCCAAUGUUGUCAUGGUGCCCAAGAAGGACAAGUCGCUCCGAAUGUGCAUCGACUUCAAGCAUCUCAAUAAGGUCUGCCCGAAAGACUAUUUUUCGCUCCCCCGCAUCGAUCAAAUUGUCGAUUCGACUGCGGGUUGCGAGCGUUUGUCUUUUUUGAUGCCUACUCGGGCUAUCAUCAGAUCCGUCUGUAUGGCCUCGAUGAAUUAAAAACAGCCUUCAUCACCCCAUUCGGGUGCUUCUGCUACAUCACUAUGCUAUUCGGUUUGAAGAAUGCAGGAACUACCUUUAUGCGCAUGAUCCAAAAAUGCCUCCUCGACCAGAUCGGUCGGAAUGUGGAGGCGUAUAUGGAUGAUACCGUAGUCAAGUCACGCAAAGGUUUCGACCUGCUGACUGACUUGGCAGAAACAUUCGCCAACCUUCGUAGGUACGAUAUCAAGCACAACCCCGCCAAGUGUUCAUUCGGCGUUCCCAGCGGAAAGUUACUCGGUUUCUUCGUUUUCGAACGAGGGAUCGAUGUCAACCCCGAAAAAAUCAGGACCAUCGUCCGAAUGGAGAGGCCGGUCAGAAUACACGAUGUUCAACGGCUCACAGGUUGCCUAGCGGCUUUGAGCAGGUUUAUCAGUCGACUCGGCGAGAAAGCACUUCCUCUGUACCGACUCAUUAAGAAAAUCAGAUACGUUCGAGUGGACAGACGAAGCCCAAGUCGCAUUCGACGACCUCAAAGUCCUACUUUCCACCCAGUCGGUUCUUACUGCUCCGCUCAAUAAAGAGCCCUUCUUCUGUAUAUCGCGGCUACAAAUCAAGUCGACAACACUGUUCUUACAGUCGAACGAGAAGAAGAAGACGAAGCAUACAAAGUUCAGCGGCCAGUGUAUUACGUCUCCGAAGUCCUGACUCCUUCCAAGCAGAGGUAUCCCCACUAUCAAAAACUUAUCUACGGGAUUUACAUUACUGCGAAGAAGGUAGCCCAUUAUUUUUAAGACCAUUCGGUGUCUGUUGUUUUUGAUGCCCCGUUAUAGGAAAUCCUCCACAAUCGGGACGCAUCAGGCCGAGUGGCGAAGUGGACAAUGAAGAUGUUGUACUGCGAUAUCAAGUUCGAGGCCAAUAAAGCUAUAAAGUCUCAAGCCCUGCCUGACUUCAUAGCAGAAUGGGUAGAACAAAAGCAACCGACCCACAUCUACUCGGCUUAUUGGACAAUGUUCUUUGAUGGGUCCAAGAUGUUGAAUGGCUCCGGCGCUGGCGUUGUGAUCGUAUCGCCAAAGGGCGACAAACUCAAAUAUGUGCUGCAGAUAAACUUUGAUUCCUCCAACAAUGAGGCAGAGUAUGAAGCUCUCCUUUAUGGACUGCGUAUGGCCAUCGCACUCGGCGUCCGUCGCCUGAUGGUCUUUGGCGAUUCGACUUUGGUGGUUAAUCAAGUGAUGAAAGAGUGGGACGUCAGGAACCCCACCAUGACCACAUACUGCAAUGCAGUGAGGAAGCUCGAGAAGAAGUUUGAAGGUCUAGAACUCCACCAUGUUCCGCGACUGAAGAACCAAGCAGCUGAUGAAUUGGCGAAACUCGGAUCCACUCGGAGACCAGUCCCGAGUGACGUCUGCCUCGAGCACCUCCACCUUCCCUCAGUCAAAGAAGAUCCUUUCACAGAAAAACAAGUACAACCAAAGAGCACGACAGAUCCGACUGAAGUCGACGUACCUGCUGUGGUUGAUCUGAUCAUGAAGAUUAUUGCUGUCAUCUCUGAUUGGACUGUGCCGAUCAUUGCAUAUAUCCUGAGGCAGGAAUUACCAGAAGACGAAGUCCAGGCCAGGCAGAUAGUCCGCAGGUCGAAGUCGUUCACUGUCAUUGAUGGCUAGUUGUACAAGGAAAGCGUUUCAGGCGUUCUUCAACGAUGUAUCUCCCCAGAGGAGGGACAGUUGAUCCUGGAAGAAAUUCACUUGGGAACCUGCGGUCAUCACGCCUCUUCGAGAGCGAUCGUCGCCAAAGCAUUCAGAGCUGGUUUCUUCUGGCUGCAGGCAAACGAAAUGGCUAAAGAUAUGGUCGACCGAUGUGAAGCCUGUUAGUUCUACUCCAACAAGUCCCACAAGCCAACAUCUGCGUUGAAGACAAUCCCUCUUGUGUGGCUGUUUUUAGUAUGGGGAUUAGAUACAGUCGGUUCAUUCAGGACAGGCCAAGGAGGAUACACACAUCUGUUGGUGGCAGUUGACAAGUUCACAAAAUGGAUUGAAGCAAAAGGCCAUCAAGAAGCUCGACGCCCUAACAGCCAUCAAGUUUGUCAGGGAUAUCAUCUCCCGAUUCGGGGUACCUCACAGCAUAAUCACAGACAACGGAACAAACUUUGACUCGGACAGAUUCAAAGGUUUCUGUGCAAGCCAUGGUAUCUGAGUGGAUUUUGCAUUCGUGGCGCAUCCUCAAUCAAACGGACAAGCAGAGCGGACAAAUGGACUUAUUCUGCAAGGUUUGAAGCCCCGACUCCUGCGAGAGAUGGGACAUGCCGCUGGCGUAUGGGUCACCGAGCUACCUUCAGUACUUUGGGGUCUCCGCACAACCCCGAACAGAUCUACAGGGCGAUCACCGUUCUUCCUCGUUUACGGAGCAGAAGCAGUCCUUCCGAGUGACUUGAUUCACAAUGCUCCAUGAGUCGAGCUCUUCUCCGAAGCUGAAUCAGAACAAGCGAGGCAAGACGGAGUGAACCUUCUAGAGGAGGAGCGCGAGAUGGCUCUGACUCGUUCAACCAUUUAUCAACAAGAUCUGCGGCGCUUUCACGCACGCCACGUCAGGAGUCGCACGUUCCAAGCAGACGACCUGGUGCUCCGAGNNNNNNNNNNNNNNNNNNNNNNNNNNNNNNNNNNNNNNNNNNNNNNNNNNNNNNNNNNNNNNNNNNNCAAAUGGACUUAUUCUGCAAGGUUUGAAGCCCCGACUCCUGCGAGAGAUGGGACAUGCCGCUGGCGUAUGGGUCACCGAGCUACCUUCAGUACUUUGGGGUCUCCGCACAACCCCGAACAGAUCUACAGGGCGAUCACCGUUCUUCCUCGUUUACGGAGCAGAAGCAGUCCUUCCGAGUGACUUGAUUCACAAUGCUCCAUGAGUCGAGCUCUUCUCCGAAGCUGAAUCAGAACAAGCGAGGCAAGACGGAGUGAACCUUCUAGAGGAGGAGCGCGAGAUGGCUCUGACUCGUUCAACCAUUUAUCAACAAGAUCUGCGGCGCUUUCACGCACGCCACGUCAGGAGUCGCACGUUCCAAGCAGACGACCUGGUGCUCCGAGUGGAUCAGCAAAGACCUCACAAGUUGGCUCCUGCCUGGGAAGGACCCUUCAUCAUCUCCAAGGUGCUGAACAACGGAGCAUACAGACUCUACAACAUCGACAGGGAGACAGACGAGCCGCGAGCAUGGAACGGAGAUCUCCUGAAACGCUUCUACACGUGACCGUCGACUGAAGCAAUGUAAAGAACAAGUAUUGGUGAAAUAAUAUAAAACAGAUUGAGCUUUUGCAGAUUCAAAAUUCUUUCGCGGUCGCAGACUCCGGUCUCAAAAAAAAAAACUUAGCUGCGAUCCAGAAUCGCCUAAGUACUAACUUUCUCCGAGUAAGUACUAAACGUCGCACUCGGAGAUUUAGCUGCGAUCACGAAUCGCCUAAGUACUAACUUUCUCCGAGUGUGCACUAAACGUCGCACUCAGGGACUUAGCUACGAUCACGAAUCGCCUAAGUACUAACUUUCUCCGAGUGUGCACUUAACGUCGCACUCGAUGACUUAGCUGUGAUCACGAAUCGCCUAAGUACUGACUUUCUCCGAGUAUGCACUAAACGUCGCACUCGGGGACUUAGCUGCGAUCAAGAAUCGCCUAAGUACUCCCCCCCCCCCCCCCUGCACUAAACGUCGCACUCGGGGACUUAGCUGCGAUCAAGAAUCGCCUAAGUACUGACUUUCUCCGAGUGUGCACUAAACGUCGCACUCGGGGACUUAGCUGCGAUCAAGAAUCGCCUAAGCACUAACUUUCUUCGAGUGUGCACUAAACGUCGCACUCAGGGACUUAGCUGCGAUGAAAAAUUGCCUAAGUACUAACUUUCUCCGAGUGUGCACUAAACGUCGCACUCGGGGACUUAGCUGCGAUCAAGAAUCGCCUAAUUACUAAUCUUCUCCGUGUGUGCACUAAACGUCGCACUCGGGGACUUAGCUGCGAUCAAGAAUCGCCUAAGUACUAAAUUUCUCCGAGUGUGCACUAAACGUCGCACUCGGGGACUUAGCUGCGAUCAAGAAUCGCCUAAGUACUGACUUUCUCCGAGUGUGCACUAAACGUCGCACUUGGGGACUUAGCUGCGAUCAAGAAUUGCCUAAGUACUAAUUUUCUCCGUGUGUGCACUAAACGUCGCACUCUGGGACUUAGCUGUGAUCAAGAAUCGCCUAAGUACAAAGCUUCCUGCGACUGUAUCCCACAGAUACACUCGGGGACUCAGCAGGCGCUCAUUGAGGCUCAUGUGGAUUUCAAGACCACUGACAAUUACAUGAGUAGCAGACCCUCAUUGAGGCUCUCAUAUGGAUGUCAAGACCACUGACAAUUACAUGAGUAGCAGACCCUCAUUGAGGCUCAUGUGGAUGUCAAGACCACUGACAAUUACAUGAGUACCAACUCGCUUCGAGUGAGGCCUGUCCGACGCACUCGACGACUUAGCCGCGAUCAUGAAUCGCCUAAGUACUCUAUUGUCUUCGAGUGUACCCUACAGAUCCACUCGGAGACUCAGCAGACCCUCAUUGAGGCUCGCCAAGGUUUCUUACAACCAACACUCGGCAUACCGAGGUAAAAGUUUUCUUACGCGUCGUCCGGAUUGGCGCCAGGACUAGAGGGCUCCACGAAUGUGUCCAGGUCGAUUCCGUCGGCGAUACGGGUGGCACUCUUAAGGAAGGUUUCCAUGAAGUCUUCGAAUCGAAGUUUCUUCGUGUUGGCGACCUUCAACGCUUUCAGCUUCUCUUCGCGCACCUCCUUGCAAUGCACUCGGACCAGGGACAGAGCAACGUCUGCACCACAGCGAGCCGCAUAUUUCUUCCAUGACUGCACUCGGUUUGGGACCUCCUCCAGUCGAGUCAUCAAGCUUUCCAUCUCAUGCCGCGACUCAUCUUCAGGCCAAAGCUCCUUGUCGAUCCGGCCGACGACUUCUCUUAGUCGAUCGAUGAAAGGACCAACUUUGCCCACGCGAAUGUGCGCUCGGAGCAGAUCUCGAUUGGCGUCCUCGCCGAGUGGAAUGUUCUUGCGAAUCGACCGCUCCACGUCAGCUGCUUCAGCUUCAGCGUCCAUGCAAAAAUCUGCAAACACAGGACAAGCAAACAAUAAGCGCCGAGUGUAACGCACAUACCACAAGCACUCGGAAAAACAGGACUUACCAACCAGACGCGUUAUCAUCUGCCGGGCCCAGUCGCUGAUGUAUUUUUCCUGCGCUAUACACCGCUUGUUCAGCACAUUCAUUUGCCCCAUCAGCUCAGACCUAUGCGCCUUCAUCUUCUCAACUUCAGUAGUCAGUGCCUUGUUCGCUUCACGGGCCUGCUCCAACGACUUCUCUCGUUCCUCCAGAACGUCCUUCAUACCAGCCAUUGCAAUCAGUGCCGCAUCCAGCUCACCGGCAAACUGAACCUUUUCAGCCCUAAGAGUCUCGUAUGCUGUCCCCAUCUCACAAGUUUUCUGCCAGCCAGCACCAAUAGACGAUCAGACAAAUCCAACAAUAAAAAGUUUAAGUUCUUCAGACCCCUGCCGACGCAAGCAGUCGACAGCGGUCUCGGGGACUACACCCAGUGGGUUCACUGAGAGUGACCCCACUGGCAUGAAACUCAAACAGGUCCGCCCUAUUGAGAUGCAUGACAACACCUACGCCUACGAGGCUAAUACUACCCGACCUGAGUAAAAUUACUCUUGGGGACUCUUACAGUAGGUGCACUCCGAGUGCCCCAACCGUUAGCAUUUGACCAGAUUAUUUACGGAUCUGACCAAGUCAAAGACAAUAUGCAUAAAGACAACUGCCGGUGCAAGCACUCGACAGAAGUCUCGGGGACUACACCCACUGGGUUCACUCAGAGUGAACCCAUUGCAAACAUCAUACGGUAUCCGAGCACACCCAGUGGGUUACAAGAGAAAAGUAAAUACUUACUAGCCCACUUACUCGGAUAUCGUCCCGCAGCUCCAAGCUCCGCUGGUACAGGGAUGCGAUGGAGUCAUACGCUUUCUUGUCUUCUCCCGCCAUCAGCUCCGCCUGCACCAUGACCCCCUUGGCCGCUCCCACCUGAUCCUCCGGCAGGCGCUGGACGUUGAACUCGACAUUUGACGGGCCUGACAUCGUUGGAAGCUCUUUGGGCAUCCCAAGGCCCGCUCCAGUCGGUUCAGCAGCAACCAGCACCGUUUCAGUCGGCGGCAUCGCCUCAGUCGGCGGCACGUCCGCGGCGAGAGCAGUAACUGGCGGAACAGCCUCAAGGACAGGCACCACAGCUUGCUCAGGUCUCCCCUGGUCACCCUCAUCCACAUAAAUCACCCUUGUCAGAUCGAACGGCGUGAGAUCUCAGAAAAAGGAAGGGGCAAGACCGAAGACAGAAUUCGCGAUGCGAUAAUGUAAAACUCUCGGAAUCGCUACAACGCACCUGGCUGGGACGAAACUACGUUGUCCGUGUCCAUGGGGUCAUCCCCCUGGCCUGCCGGAGAGGUGGCAGAGGUAGCAACUCUGUCGAGUGAAAUUCAUUCGACCAAUAAAUAGGAGUCCAAUCGAAUAUCAGAAGAAGUUAGAAGAACAAUAUACUUACGUCGAGGUGACGGGAACGGUGACCCUCAUCCGCGGCAAAGCCUUCCGAGGUUUAGAUCCGCUCGGUUUGGCCACCUUGGAAGGCUGACCCGCAAGUUCGGUAGCAGCGUCCCUGGUCCUCUUGGUGCUCCGGGCACCCGGACCCCCGGGAACAGUUGACGGGGCACUCGGAACCGCAGGAGCAGUUGACGGAGCACUCGAGGAUGCUGGAAGGGCCGAGAGAGCUGCAGGUUCAUGUCGGCGCUUGGUUCGAUGCUCUGACGGCGGGGGUGGCGAGUCCUGCUCUUCGUCUUCCCCCUCCUUUUUACUAGACUCUUCCUUCGUUUCCCCACUGUCGGAGACGUACUCGACGCUCUCCACGCUGCCCUCCUGGCUGCCCUCCUCCUCGGCCGGGUUCCCGUUCGAGACAGGGGAAAACCAGUUGGUCUACUUCUGCAUAAAAUACAGUCGGCGACAUCAGGCGUCAGACAGAGAUUCAAGAAAGCGAUUAAACUAAGACAAUUACGUGCACUCGACAAGUGGUACUCACCGCGUUCGGAGGAGGGUUGUCCGCGCAGAAAGCCCUCACUCGCCGGGACCCUCUGGGGUUCUCGCAGGCGCCUGUGAUCUGGAGCACCCACGACGCCACCUUCUCCUCGGUCACUCCCAAGACGUUGGUCCGAGUGGAGUCUUCGGGCCCCGUGUAGUGCCACAUGGCGUGGUCGCGAGCCUGCAGUGGUUGGAUGCGCCGACCGAGGAAAACCUCCAGCAAAUCUAUGCCGGUGACUCCCCUUCUGACGACAUCUACGAGUGCGUCGACCAGAGGCUGGAUGUCGAUCUUCUCCGCCUUCGUGAGCGCAAGCUGCUUGGGGGGAGCGGGUCGAUCUAAGCUAAAAGGAGGCAACCCUGUCGUGGCAUUCGGAUAGGCAACGUCCUGGCAGUAGAACCAUGUCGACUGCCAGUUCCUAACUGACUCACUCAGCUGAAGAGCAGGAUAACUACUUCUACUCUUCUUCUAAAAACCUAAGCCUCCGCAGAGCUGGAGAAGGUGUGUCUUAUCAUCCGACUGGUGAAGUCGUUUGAUGGUUUGGGAUCUAGCAGAGAAAAUAUGUUUGAAAAGCCCCCAAUGGGGGGGACAGCCGAUGAAGCACUCACACAGGACUAUGAAAGCAGAGAGAUAAGCUAUAGCAUUCGGGGGAAAGUGGUGAAGCUGCGCCCCGAAGUGGUUCAUUAUGCCUUUGAAGAAAGGAUGCGGGGGCAGAGAGAAACCUCGAUAUACGUGGCUGAGCAGCAGGACGCGCUCCCCCUCCCGGGGCGCCGGCUCGAUCUCAUUCUCCAUCGGCAACCUCCACGACUUGUGCACGAUCAUCCCGUGCUCCACCAGCUCCAGCAGAUCCCCCUCCGUCACCGUGGAGGGGAGGAAGUCCCCCUGGAUCCACCCCGCCGGUAACGCUCGCUGCCGCCGCUGAGCAGGAGCCGCCGCCUUCCCCUUCUUCUUCUUCGCCUCCAGCUUGCUAGUCUGUCCCUUGGUCAUGGCGGAAGCUGCGGGUCCGCGGAGGAGAAGGAAAGGGAAGGAGCUUGGGUGCGCAGGAGGAGGCGAGAGGAGCGGAGCAAUCAAAGGCAAGAGAUCCGGCGAGCGUAACGAGAAAACCCUCGCCGCCGAGGUUUAAGUAAGGUUCCGACUGCGUCACUGUCAGGUGGCCCCGAAACCUUAUCCCCCGACCAACCGCGGCGAUAUCAGUGGAGAAGAUGAAGGCGCGAGAAUCGAGGCGUCAGGCGCUACUCGAGCGUGCGGUAACCGAAAUUUGAGGAUCUCGGAAAAUCCGCCGCUGUCAGUUGAUUGGUCACGUCAGGAGAUACCCUGGAAGCACUCGGUUUCCGACAGUUCGUUCCACAAAUACUUCCGCUCGGAUCGUUGGUCAGAAAAGAUAAAAUGGAUCGAGGCAAGCAACGCCAAAGCCACAUCCGUUCCAGUCGGAUCCAAACUUCAAGCAUCGCUUCGUCGUUCCAACCCCAAUCCAUUCAGGGACUAAUGAUGGGGUCAUAGUCCUAGGGUAGGGUCAUAGGCCUGCCCUGUAGGUCCAACCCAAGGACUACCCCUCAUAAGGGACAAGGCCCUUAGUCAGUUCCGACUGAACUAAGGAGUUCCCUUCAUCCAGUCGGUAACAGAUCCUCGACCAUCCAGUCGGAGAUUAGCAUUCGGAGUUUAUCAAACUAACCGACUGGAUUCCACUCUGUGCAUCGUAACCCCCCUGGAGGGAAACGGUCAUACGUUUCCAUGUGCCUUUAUUAGCAUUUAGGACGUACGUUACCUGUAACGUAGGCAUUUAUUCGCCACUACUCCACCCCUGUGCACCGAACCGUUGUGGAGGGCAGCGCACUCUAUAUAAGCCACCCUCCCCCACUGGUGCAGGGGUUAGCAACUUAUUGUAUUCCAUA
RNAcentral lists this long non-coding RNA (12860 nucleotides) under Hordeum vulgare. RNAcentral describes it as "long non-coding RNA (HVUL_LNC000773)". The record is from RNAcentral. Lineage: Eukaryota; Viridiplantae; Streptophyta; Magnoliopsida; Poales; Poaceae.